Molecule: ribosomal RNA, 441 nt
Filed under: uncultured bacterium
Lineage: Bacteria
Description: partial 16S ribosomal RNA
Rfam family: Bacterial small subunit ribosomal RNA
Source: RNAcentral
CCUACGGGGGGCAGCAGUGGGGGAUAUUGCACAAUGGGGGAAACCCUGAUGCAGCGACGCCGCGUGGGCGAAGAAGUAUUUCGGUAUGUAAAGCCCUAUCGGCAGGGAAGAAGGAGGACGGUACCUGACUAAGAAGCCCCGGCUAACUACGUGCCAGCAGCCGCGGUAAUACGUAGGGGGCAAGCGUUAUCCGGAUUUACUGGGUGUAAAGGGGGCGCAGACGGCAGCGCAAGCCAGGAGUGAAAGCCCGGGGCCCAACCCCGGGACUGCUCUUGGAACUGCGCGGCUGGAGUGCAGGAGGGGCAGGCGGAAUUCCUGGUGUAGCGGUGAAAUGCGUAGAUAUCAGGAGGAACACCGGUGGCGAAGGCGGCCUGCUGGACUGCGACUGACGUUGAGGCCCGAAAGCGUGGGGAGCAAACAGGAUUAGAUACCCUGGUAGUC